UACGUAGGGGGCAAGCGUUGUCCGGAAUUAUUGGGCGUAAAGAGCUCGUAGGCGGCUUGUCACGUCGGAUGUGAAAGCCCGGGGCUUAACCCCGGGUCUGCAUUCGAUACGGGCUAGCUAGAGUGUGGUAGGGGAGAUCGGAAUUCCUGGUGUAGCGGUGAAAUGCGCAGAUAUCAGGAGGAACACCGGUGGCGAAGGCGGAUCUCUGGGCCAUUACUGACGCUGAGGAGCGAAAGCAUGGGGAGCGAACAGG
RNAcentral lists this ribosomal RNA (253 nucleotides) under uncultured bacterium. RNAcentral's name for it is "partial 16S ribosomal RNA". It matches the Rfam family "Bacterial small subunit ribosomal RNA", at positions 524 to 776 of the family's 1533-position model. The record is from RNAcentral.